Molecule: non-coding RNA, 29 nt
Filed under: Homo sapiens (human)
Lineage: Eukaryota; Metazoa; Chordata; Mammalia; Primates; Hominidae
Source: RNAcentral
CCAUCAUGGUCCUACCAAUAUGUGAUGGC